This 265-nucleotide long non-coding RNA is filed under the name Salvia miltiorrhiza (redroot sage). Its description in RNAcentral is "long non-coding RNA (SMIL_LNC013509)". Lineage: Eukaryota; Viridiplantae; Streptophyta; Magnoliopsida; Lamiales; Lamiaceae. The record is from RNAcentral.
AGCUAUUGUCAUGAUCGAUCUUUAAUUUGAUAUGCAUAUCAAAUAUUUUAUAAUUAGUCGAAUUUCACAAUUUAACAAAAUAGAAAAAAAAAGAAGUUAAAGAAAAAGAAAAGAAAAAAAAAAGAUGUAUAGCUUAUAAAUAAACCUUCAAUUUUAUUCUAACUACAAAAUUGUCACUCAAUUUUGAAAUUGAUUUGAAAUCAAUUUGAAAUUGAAAACUCCCAUUUUAAUAUAGUAUAGAUUUAAUUUAUCUAUCUCUCUCUCU